GACGAACGCUGGCGGCGUGCUUAAUACAUGCAAGUCGAACGGAAAGGCCCUGCUUUUGUGGCGUUCUCGAGUGUCGAACGGGUGAUUAACACGUGAGUACCCUGCCCUUGACUUUGGGAUAACUUUUGGAAACUGCGGCUCAUACCGGAUAUGAGCUCCUGCUCCAUGGUGGGGGUUGGAAAGUUUCGGCGGUUGGGGAUGGACUCGCGGCUUAUGAGCUUGUUAGUGGAGUAGUGGCUUACCAAGGCUUAAACGGAUAGCCGGCCUGGGAGGGUGACCGGGCUCAUUGAGACUGAGAUACGGAGCAGAAUCCGACGGGAGGAAGAAGUGGAGAAUAUAGCACAAUAGGAAGAGGACUGAAGCAAAAACACCGCGUGCGGGAUGACGGACUUAAAGUUGUAAACCACUUUCGCCUGUGACGGAGAGUGAGUGACGGUAAUGAGUAAAGAAGCACCGGGUAAAUACGUG
Molecule: ribosomal RNA, 468 nt
Filed under: uncultured bacterium
Lineage: Bacteria
Description: partial 16S ribosomal RNA
Rfam family: Bacterial small subunit ribosomal RNA
Source: RNAcentral